Molecule: ribosomal RNA, 1557 nt
Filed under: Salmonella enterica subsp. enterica serovar Tennessee
Lineage: Bacteria; Pseudomonadati; Pseudomonadota; Gammaproteobacteria; Enterobacterales; Enterobacteriaceae
Description: bacterial SSU rRNA
Rfam family: Bacterial small subunit ribosomal RNA
Source: RNAcentral
UUAAAUUGAAGAGUUUGAUCAUGGCUCAGAUUGAACGCUGGCGGCAGGCCUAACACAUGCAAGUCGAACGGUAACAGGAAGCAGCUUGCUGCUUUGCUGACGAGUGGCGGACGGGUGAGUAAUGUCUGGGAAACUGCCUGAUGGAGGGGGAUAACUACUGGAAACGGUGGCUAAUACCGCAUAACGUCGCAAGACCAAAGAGGGGGACCUUCGGGCCUCUUGCCAUCAGAUGUGCCCAGAUGGGAUUAGCUUGUUGGUGAGGUAACGGCUCACCAAGGCGACGAUCCCUAGCUGGUCUGAGAGGAUGACCAGCCACACUGGAACUGAGACACGGUCCAGACUCCUACGGGAGGCAGCAGUGGGGAAUAUUGCACAAUGGGCGCAAGCCUGAUGCAGCCAUGCCGCGUGUAUGAAGAAGGCCUUCGGGUUGUAAAGUACUUUCAGCGGGGAGGAAGGUGUUGUGGUUAAUAACCGCAGCAAUUGACGUUACCCGCAGAAGAAGCACCGGCUAACUCCGUGCCAGCAGCCGCGGUAAUACGGAGGGUGCAAGCGUUAAUCGGAAUUACUGGGCGUAAAGCGCACGCAGGCGGUCUGUCAAGUCGGAUGUGAAAUCCCCGGGCUCAACCUGGGAACUGCAUUCGAAACUGGCAGGCUUGAGUCUUGUAGAGGGGGGUAGAAUUCCAGGUGUAGCGGUGAAAUGCGUAGAGAUCUGGAGGAAUACCGGUGGCGAAGGCGGCCCCCUGGACAAAGACUGACGCUCAGGUGCGAAAGCGUGGGGAGCAAACAGGAUUAGAUACCCUGGUAGUCCACGCCGUAAACGAUGUCUACUUGGAGGUUGUGCCCUUGAGGCGUGGCUUCCGGAGCUAACGCGUUAAGUAGACCGCCUGGGGAGUACGGCCGCAAGGUUAAAACUCAAAUGAAUUGACGGGGGCCCGCACAAGCGGUGGAGCAUGUGGUUUAAUUCGAUGCAACGCGAAGAACCUUACCUGGUCUUGACAUCCACGGAAGUUUUGCAGAGAUGAGAAUGUGCCUUCGGGAACCGUGAGACAGGUGCUGCAUGGCUGUCGUCAGCUCGUGUUGUGAAAUGUUGGGUUAAGUCCCGCAACGAGCGCAACCCUUAUCCUUUGUUGCCAGCGAUUAGGUCGGGAACUCAAAGGAGACUGCCAGUGAUAAACUGGAGGAAGGUGGGGAUGACGUCAAGUCAUCAUGGCCCUUACGACCAGGGCUACACACGUGCUACAAUGGCGCAUACAAAGAGAAGCGACCUCGCGAGAGCAAGCGGACCUCAUAAAGUGCGUCGUAGUCCGGAUUGGAGUCUGCAACUCGACUCCAUGAAGUCGGAAUCGCUAGUAAUCGUGGAUCAGAAUGCCACGGUGAAUACGUUCCCGGGCCUUGUACACACCGCCCGUCACACCAUGGGAGUGGGUUGCAAAAGAAGUAGGUAGCUUAACCUUCGGGAGGGCGCUUACCACUUUGUGAUUCAUGACUGGGGUGAAGUCGUAACAAGGUAACCGUAGGGGAACCUGCGGUUGGAUCACCUCCUUACCUUAAAGAAGC